GAGGGCAGGAGCCCCAUGCUCUGCUCGUGCUAAUCUUUUUCCUUCCUUUUCUCCCUCAGGAAGGAAGCCAUCCAGGCAGCCAGGAGGCUCCUACCCCGCUUCUUAUCUCCCAGCAGAGCCUGCACUGGAAAUGAGAUUCAGAGGCUGGACCAGGAAAGGCUGUUGUUCCCUUAAUGGAGCAGCUCCCCUUUGAAGUCCUGUCUCCCCGUGGAGCCCGGAGCUGGCGGGGUCCCCCAGCCCACGUCACCCGUAUGUAAUCUCUUGCACACCAGAAGCAGAUGUUCCCUGGCAUGGAGCUCUUUUGAAAGGUCUUUAAUAGGAUUUCUCAGCCUUCCACAUGCCAGGCAGACAGGGGAGGGACGGCGUUCAGAGAAAUCACUGAUCAAAGAUUUCAAGAGGGUAGUACUCUGCUCCUUUUCUGCUGGAUACUCCUCUGUCAGGAUUCUGCAGGGUUUUUUUUGGGGGGGGGGGCUGUUCUCAGCACCCCCAAAGGGGACUCCCUGAGGCUUUGCAACUCUGUUCCAUUUCCUCAAUCCAUGGCCAUGGGCAUUUUUUGUUUUCCUGGAUCCACUUGGUGUCGUUGGAGACACAGGAGUUGCUCGGGGCUCUGGUGGGAUGCCCAGUCCAUGCAGCGAACACCUCACUGGCAGCUGACUGUGGGGAAAGGGGGCUGGGAUAUAGCUCAGUGGCACAGUGCCUGCCUGACAAGCGUGAGGUCCUGACUUCGAUUUCUGGUGCCCACUUAAAAAUAAAAAUAAAUAAAAACCAACUGAGCUCAUUCAGCAAUGGAGUGGAGCUCUAAGCUAAGGGUGGCAUCAAAUAUAAAAUACGAUUGUCAUGGGACUCAAAUGAUAUAAACAUGAAGAUCCCCAGGAACAAAUAUUCUGAAGGGCUCAGAAAUGCUUAUGAUUUGUUUGUUAAAGGCAAAAUAAAACUUAAGGAUGUUUGUGUACCAGAGUCCUUUUGGGUCAGAUGUACCCUGGCUGGGACAGAGACAUGAAACUGAGAGCUUCAUGUAGGAGUGCGCACCCGACACAGUAACUGACGUCUGCUGCGAAUGGCAAAACGCUGAGCUGUCCACAGUGUCCUGUUUUUGGCUGUCCCUGCCCUGUCCUCUCCCCUCGCAGGGGCUGAUUGCUGUGCAGCCUUGAAGCCCUUUGAAACGUUCUGGUUCUGACGAUCAUGAGGAAAGGCCAGCCUAGAUCUUUAACCCAGUGUGUCCUAAGAAGAUGUCCUUAAUGUUCUGUCUCCAAGGGCUUCCUUGUUCCUUGCUUCCAGCUGGAUUCAGAGAGCAGAGGGCACCAGGAAUGUGAAGAAGGAAUCUUUCUUACCCUAGCUGGACUGCCGUGGGUCAGCCACAUCCCUCUCCUGGAAGUCACGGUUCUCAUUAAGCAGCCUUUUCCAUGUAAAUACUGUUUUCUAGGUCGUGACAACUACACCCUGCCCUUGAACCCUCAUGCCCAGUGGGUAGUAAAGGCUUCCAACUGUUACACAUCCUGAGGUAUUAUGCUCUCCAUUAUUUGUUUCCCUAAAUCUACCCAUAACUCUGUAUAUAGUCCUUCCAUUAAACUGUCCUUAAAUUGCCCAA
This is a long non-coding RNA of Cavia porcellus (domestic guinea pig), 1588 nucleotides long. RefSeq lists it as uncharacterized. The transcript is spliced from 2 exons. Lineage: Eukaryota; Metazoa; Chordata; Mammalia; Rodentia; Caviidae. The record is from RefSeq and is a predicted model, not a curated record.